GCCGACGGUGAGCAAGGGGUCGCGCACGACGGCUGCACGACGCGCAGGACGACUUCUCUCACCCCGACAGCUGCAGGCGGUGCGGCGGACGAGAAAUGGGAUGGUAAAAUCGGGAGAAAGGGACGUUGCAGUGAAGAUGGACUGCGAUUCUUUCUCAAAGAAAGAGUGCAGGUACAAGAAGAUAGCUGUCGAUCUGAAGAAAGCCGCUGUUGAUCAAAAUGGAUUGAUAGUGAAGCUGAAGACAUAGAGGAAGAUGAGGGCAAAGCUUCAAUUGGCAUAGAACAGGGCUAGUAUAGUUUAGUCGGAUGUUGCAUUGUGUAUGCAAUUUGUGCUAUGUUAGUUAGAUGAAGCAAAUGUAGUAAAAGGUGGAGACUGGAAAUUGUGUAACUUUCUAUCUUUGAAAUGCAAUAAAUUGUGCAUUUGUUUUUGAAA
Molecule: long non-coding RNA, 432 nt
Organism: Lolium rigidum
Lineage: Eukaryota; Viridiplantae; Streptophyta; Magnoliopsida; Poales; Poaceae
Exons: 2
Source: RefSeq, a predicted model, not a curated record